CUACUUCUUCAGCUGUCAGAUUUUGGACUUGCUAGUCGGGUCUCAAGUUCUGCAUCUCAAACGACUAGCAUGGAUGUUGCAGGAACCUUUGGUUACUUGGCUCCUGAAUACCUCAUGCGCGGAAAAUUAGUGAUAAAAUUGAUGUCUACGCAUUUGGCAUCGUCCUCCUAGAGCUCCUCUCUGGUAAAAACCCCAUCGACGAUAACCGUCCAAAAGGUCAGGAGAGCCUUGUUAUGUGGGCAAAGCCAAUUUUAAAGGACA
Long non-coding RNA from Hibiscus syriacus, 261 nucleotides. RefSeq lists it as uncharacterized. The record is from RefSeq and is a predicted model, not a curated record. NCBI's taxonomy places the organism in Eukaryota, Viridiplantae, Streptophyta, Magnoliopsida, Malvales, Malvaceae. The transcript is spliced from 3 exons.